This is an RNA transcript of Panicum virgatum (switchgrass), 2322 nucleotides long. It is a transcript of the gene named replication protein A 70 kDa DNA-binding subunit C-like, with no coding region annotated. NCBI's taxonomy places the organism in Eukaryota, Viridiplantae, Streptophyta, Magnoliopsida, Poales, Poaceae. The transcript has 3 exons. The record is from RefSeq and is a predicted model, not a curated record.
GCAGGUCGCAUCGGCUGAUCGGAAUCUCUCCCCUUCCCCAACCCAACCCAAUCAAUCACUCAAGCAGUGAACAACCAGCCGCCUCCUCCUCCGCAACCUCAACGCCCCCUCCCCCGGCCGCGGCGGCAUGGAGGUGAACCUGUCGCGUGGUGCGGUGGCGGCCAUGUCGGAGCGGCCGGCGGCGCUGAGGCUGCGCCCGGUGCUGCAGGUGGCGGGCGCGCAGCAGCUUCCGGGGCUACCGCGGAGCGCGGCCUCCACGCCGCGGUGCAGGCUGAUGCUCUCGGACGGCGUCCACUGCCUGCAGGGCAUGCUCGUCUCCGGCCUGGCCCACCUCGUCGCGGACGGGGCGCUCCGCCGCGGCACCGUGCUCCAGCUCCUCGAGUACCAGUGCUGCACCGUACGGAACCGCAGGAUCUUCAUAUUUAUCCAUUUUGAAAUAUUGCAAACUGAGAGUGCAAUGAUUGGAAGUCCCAAACUCUAUGAGUGUGGACAAGGUGUUCAAUGUUCUUGCGGAUCCUCAAGUCCUGCAGAGAAAGUUGGUAGUAACUUAACACGUGCCGGUCUGGUUCAGGGUAUGUACAUGUCAGGUCCUUGUCUUGCUUCAGAGGCAGAAGUUGCCAGGAAAAAGGUUGCUCAAAUCAACGAUGAGAACUUGGAAUGCCCAGGUAAUGAAGAACUGGCUAUUGUUAAAGCUACUCUUUCAUAUAUAAACACCAAAAAUUUCUGUAAUACCGUUUGCCCGCUGGUGGUGAAUGGUAGGCAAUGCAACAGGAAGGUAGGUAGUAAUGGCCAUGGAUGGUGGCAUUGUGACAGAUGCAACCAGACCUUUGUUAACUGUGAUUUUAAGUACAUGGUUCUUGUUCAGCUACAAGAUUCAACUGGUAUGAUCUAUGCUGUUGUGUCGCAAGAGGCUGGUAAGGAGUUAUUUGGUUGCAAAGCAAAGGAACUCUACUCAUUGAAACAUGAAAAACGAGAUCAUGCGCAAUUUGAUGAUAUAGUUCAGAGGGUACUGUUUCAGCAAUAUCUAUGGAAACUGAAGGCAGAAACAGAGACAUUCAAUGAUGAACAGCUUGCUAAAUGGACGAUCAUCAAGGCUGAAAAGGUCAAUCCUUCAACUGAAAGUCAUCAUCUUCUGAGGGCGAUAGGCAUGCUUUUGCCAGAGGGUUCGGGUUCAACAUCUGCUAAUCAAGGUAUGGCAGCAGAACUUCCCUGGAAAACAGUUGCAGAAAUCACUGAUGUUUUAGGAUGCUUGGUUCAGCCAGAGUUGUUCAUUGUUAAAGCUACCCUCUCAAUCAUAAACACUGGGAGUUUCUGUUAUGCAGCAUGCCCAUUGGUGGUGAAUGGUAGCCAAUGCGGUAGGGAGGCUGCUCGUAAUAGCGAUGGGUGGUGGCACUGCAAUUCAUGCAACCAGACCUUUGUGACCUGUGACUAUAGGUACAGGAUUUUAGCUCAGCUACAGGAUCCCACGGGUAAUAUUUAUGCCUUUGUGUCGCAGGCGGGUGGGGAGGAUAUAUUUAGCCUAAGUGCAAAAGAGCUCUACUCAAUGAAAUAUGAGAAGCGGGAUCAUGCCCAGUUUGACAAUAUUGUAGAGCGUGUUCAGUUCCGUGAGUAUCUAUUCACGGUGAAGUUGGACAAGGCUGAAGUGGUGAAUCCAUCGACUGAAAGUCAUCGCCUUCUGAGCGUGAUCAACAAGCUUUUGCUGGAGAGUUCAGGUUCAGCCUCGGUGCCCCGCACCUCCACUGGCACAAGAACUGUUUUCUCAGGUUUGGAAUCCCAAGUCCAACAGAGGGUGCAUAUCUCCAGCUAUGCCAUGAACACUGGUGGGGCACGGUAUCUUGUCUCUCAGUCUGACAGCAACAGCCAGUAGGUGGGGAGGCCAGGAGAGGGCUUCUACGGCUCGUUGCUGCUCAAAUACAUCACGGACUAAAGUGUGUCUCAAAUGUCAUCAGGCAGGGCACUGGACUGAAGACUACCCAUGAUCUAACCCUUUUGGUCGUGCCGGUCUGCGUGGCGUGACAAAAGCACGCUGUCGCGUCACAUGCAUUGGCAUGACAAGAUGUGCCACGUUGGCACGCUUCGGAGCGCUCGGAAGGGGUCUGCCAGCUUAUAUUCCACGUGUCAACCUUGUCACACCACUCCCACCGGCGUGACAGUACAACUUUGUCACGCCACCCUCGCUGGUGUGAUAAGGUUUGAUUUUAGAAAAAUCAUAUUUUUUUCAUACAAACUCGGAUGAAGAUGAUUUUUAUACGAAAAUUGUAGCUCUCAAUGAGAUCUACAACUUUGUAGUUUUGAAUUUUUUCAUUUGAAGUCAUUAAGAUA